RNAcentral lists this ribosomal RNA (492 nucleotides) under uncultured bacterium. RNAcentral describes it as "partial 16S ribosomal RNA". It matches the Rfam family "Bacterial small subunit ribosomal RNA", at positions 29 to 507 of the family's 1533-position model. The record is from RNAcentral.
AGUGAACGCUGGCGGCAGGCCUAACACAUGCAAGUCGAACGGCAGCACAGUAAGAGCUUGCUCUUACGGGUGGCGAGUGGCGGACGGGUGAGGAAUACAUCGGAAUCUACUUUUUCGUGGGGGAUAACGUAGGGAAACUUACGCUAAUACCGCAUACGACCUACGGGUGAAAGCAGGGGAUCUUCGGACCUUGCGCGAUUGAAUGAGCCGAUGUCGGAUUAGCUAGUUGGCGGGGUAAAGGCCCACCAAGGCGACGAUCCGUAGCUGGUCUGAGAGGAUGAUCAGCCACACUGGAACUGAGACACGGUCCAGACUCCUACGGGAGGAAGCAGUGGGGAAUAUUGGACAAUGGGCGCAAGCCUGAUCCAGCCAUACCGCGUGGGUGAAGAAGGCCUUCGGGUUGUAAAGCCCUUUUGUUGGGAAAGAAAAGCAGCAGGUUAAUACCCCGCUGUUCUGACGGUACCCAAAGAAUAAGCACCGGCUAACUUCGUG